GGGGUGUUAGCUCAGUUGGUAGAGCGCUUCAAUGGCAUUGAAGAGGUCAUCGGUUCGACUCCGUUACACUCCA
Molecule: transfer RNA, 73 nt
Filed under: Verrucomicrobiales bacterium
Lineage: Bacteria; Pseudomonadati; Verrucomicrobiota; Verrucomicrobiia; Verrucomicrobiales
Description: tRNA-Ala
Rfam family: tRNA
About the family: Transfer RNA (tRNA) molecules are approximately 80 nucleotides in length.
Source: RNAcentral